GAGUUUGAUCCUGGCUCAGGACGAACGCUGGCGGCAUGCCUAAUACAUGCAAGUCGAACGCACGAAGUUGAAAAGCUUGCUUUUCGACCAAGUGAGUGGCGGACGGGUGAGUAACACGUGGGUAACCUGCCCAUAAGAGGGGGAUAACAUCCGGAAACGGAUGCUAAUACCGCAUAUUUCAAAUGACCGCAUGGUCGCUUGAUGAAAGGUGGCUUCGGCUACCGCUUAUGGAUGGACCCGCGGUGCAUUAGUUAGUUGGUGAGGUAGUGGCUCACCAAGACAAUGAUACAUAGCCGACCUGAGAGGGUGAUCGGCCACACUGGGACUGAGACACGGCCCAGACUCCUACGGGAGGCAGCAGUAGGGAAUCUUCCGCAAUGGACGAAAGUCUGACGGAGCAAUGCCGCGUGAGUGAAGAAGGUUUUCGGAUCGUAAAACUCUGUUGUUAGAGAAGAACAAGGAUGAGAGUAACUGCUCAUCCCCUGACGGUAUCUAACCAGAAAGCCACGGCUAACUACGUGCCAGCAGCCGCGGUAAUACGUAGGUGGCAAGCGUUGUCCGGAUUUAUUGGGCGUAAAGCGAGCGCAGGCGGUUCUUUAAGUCUGAUGUGAAAGCCCCCGGCUCAACCGGGGAGGGUCAUUGGAAACUGGAGAACUUGAGUGCAGAAGAGGAGAGUGGAAUUCCAUGUGUAGCGGUGAAAUGCGUAGAUAUAUGGAGGAACACCAGUGGCGAAGGCGACUCUCUGGUCUGUAACUGACGCUGAGGCUCGAAAGCGUGGGGAGCAAACAGGAUUAGAUAC
RNAcentral lists this ribosomal RNA (799 nucleotides) under uncultured bacterium. RNAcentral describes it as "bacterial SSU rRNA". It matches the Rfam family "Bacterial small subunit ribosomal RNA", at positions 9 to 785 of the family's 1533-position model. The record is from RNAcentral.